AAAAUGACUCUCGGCAACGGAUAUCUCGGCUCUCGCAUCGAUGAAACGUGUCGCAAAUGCGAUACUUGGUGUGAAUUGCAGAAUCCCGUGAACCAUCGAGUCUUUGAACGCAAGUUGCGCCCGAAACCAUUAGGUUGAGGGCACGUCUGCCUGGGUGUCACA
This 162-nucleotide ribosomal RNA is filed under the name Lotus herbaceus. Its description in RNAcentral is "5.8S ribosomal RNA". It matches the Rfam family "5.8S ribosomal RNA". From Rfam's summary of the family: 5.8S ribosomal RNA (5.8S rRNA) is a component of the large subunit of the eukaryotic ribosome. Lineage: Eukaryota; Viridiplantae; Streptophyta; Magnoliopsida; Fabales; Fabaceae. The record is from RNAcentral.